UCGAAGGCAUUUUGCAGAACUGUUUAACAUCACAGUCAGUCUUUAGUGGUACUUCGCGCUUCUUGCUGGUGCACGUACCUACGUUCGCUAUAAUAUUGAGCUACAAUACAAACAUCAAAACAACAGUCUGUAGAUAAGACAGCAAAAAAAAAAAAGUAACGUUCGUUCGUGUUUAAAUAGUAACCGAAUAAACAAGCAACCGUUCAAUCGAUUUGUAAAAAGUAAAGUAAAAAAUUUUAAUACAAUACAAUCGUUUAAUGAAAUAAAUAAAAAAAUAAUAAAAAAAAACCUAAAGAAAAUAAAAGACCGUCGCUUUAACAUUUGUGUUGUUAACGGACAAUAAGAUUACAAAUAAAUAUAAAAAUUUGGAAAAAAAAUCAAAGUUAAAAGACACAGUCAUGUAAAUUUCGAUUUUUUUGGGUGUUACAUUUUGACAACGGCAAACUACAACAACAAUAACAAACAACUAAUACUAUGUUAUUUUAAUAGUAUAUAUGUAAUAGUUAUAUACUUGUGUUUAUUUAUACAAUACACAUCCAAUACAAACAAUUCAUACAAUAAAGGUGUGGUUUAGCAAGACAAACAAAUACAUAAGUUUUGAAAAAAAAUCUAUAAUAAAUAUAAAAAACAAAACAAACAGACUCUGUUAAUAAACAAAUGAGAUUAGAGCACAAAAGUAUUUUAAAUAUAUUAUAAGCAAAAAAAAUAUAUAUAUAAUAAUUAAACGCAUUGGAGAAAAAAGUGCUAAAGUAAGAAAAAUUUAAAAUUAAUAAAGCGAAAAAAAUAAAAGAAGAAAUUUUAAUCUUCUUGGUAGCUGCUAAUAAAGACGUAUAAGAAAUUUAUGCAUUUUUAUAAUUUUUUCCUGACAACUGUAAAUAAUAAAACGUUAAGCUGGAUUUCCAUAGCAAUAGCUUUUUUUCCACCCCACAUUCUUCUUCAAUGAUGAAUCAGGAUAAUCCAUAUGCGGU
Long non-coding RNA from Lucilia sericata (common green bottle fly), 968 nucleotides. RefSeq lists it as uncharacterized. The transcript is spliced from 3 exons. The record is from RefSeq and is a predicted model, not a curated record. Lineage: Eukaryota; Metazoa; Arthropoda; Insecta; Diptera; Calliphoridae.